GCAAGUCGAGCGCGAACUUCGGGUCGAGCGGCGGACGGGUUAGUAACGCGUGGGAAUAUGCCCAAAGGUACGGAAUAGCCUCUGGAAACGGAGAGUAAUACCGUAUGUGCCCUUCGGGGGAAAGAUUUAUCGCCUUUGGAUCAGCCCGCGUUAGAUUAGGUAGUUGGUGGGGUAAUGGCCUACCAAGCCUACGAUCUAUAGCUGGUUUUAGAGGAUGAUCAGCAACACUGGGACUGAGACACGGCCCAGACUCCUACGGGAGGCAGCAGUGGGGAAUCUUGGACAAUGGGCGCAAGCCUGAUCCAGCCACGCCGCGUGAGUGAUGAAGGCCUUAGGGUCGUAAAGCUCUUUCGCCAGGGAUGAUAAUGACAGUACCUGGUAAAGAAACCCCGGCUAACACCGUGCCAGCAGCCGCGGUAAUACGGAGGGGGUUAGCGUUGUUCGGAAUUACUGGGCGUAAAGCGCGCGUAGGCGGAUCGGAAAGUUGGGGGUGAAAUCCCGGGGCUCAACCCCGGAACUGCCUCCAAAACUAUCGGUCUAGAGUUCGAGAGAGGUGAGUGGAAUUCCGAGUGU
RNAcentral lists this ribosomal RNA (573 nucleotides) under uncultured bacterium. RNAcentral describes it as "bacterial SSU rRNA". It matches the Rfam family "Bacterial small subunit ribosomal RNA", at positions 57 to 676 of the family's 1533-position model. The record is from RNAcentral.